Molecule: ribosomal RNA, 235 nt
Filed under: uncultured Enterobacterales bacterium
Lineage: Bacteria; Pseudomonadati; Pseudomonadota; Gammaproteobacteria; Enterobacterales
Description: partial 16S ribosomal RNA
Rfam family: Bacterial small subunit ribosomal RNA
Source: RNAcentral
UGGCGGACGGGUGAGUAAUGUCUGGGAAACUGCCUGAUGGAGGGGGAUAACUACUGGAAACGGUAGCUAAUACCGCAUAACGUCGCAAGACCAAAGAGGGGGACCUUCGGGCCUCUUGCCAUCAGAUGUGCCCAGAUGGGAUUAGCUAGUAGGUGGGGUAACGGCUCACCUAGGCGACGAUCCCUAGCUGGUCUGAGAGGAUGACCAGCCACACUGGAACUUAGACACGGUCCAG